RNAcentral lists this long non-coding RNA (18959 nucleotides) under Ananas comosus (pineapple). RNAcentral's name for it is "long non-coding RNA (ACOM_LNC009710)". Lineage: Eukaryota; Viridiplantae; Streptophyta; Magnoliopsida; Poales; Bromeliaceae. The record is from RNAcentral.
AAAUAUUCAUUCCGUCCGGAUUUAACUUCCAAUCCGGCCUCCUAGGCCGGAUUGAAAAAAUUGGUUAUUGGGCAAUUCCCAUUCCACUUGGGAAUCGGAAUCGGAAUGGGACUCCCGCGUACCAAACACCGACAAACGGAUUCGCCCAUUCCAAUUCCGAUUCCAGGGUGAAAAAGAAGCGAACCAAACACGCCCAUAGUGUAGAGCUACUAUGCUAUCGGAAGCAUAGAGGGUUAUAUGCUUCCGACUUUUUGACCCUUGGAUCAAGAAUUGUACAGUUGGGAUGAUUGUGGUUUCCCCCGGGUUGAGUAGUACUCCUAGAAUUGAGUGGUCCCCACAGGGUAAUAGUAUUAAUCCAAAGAUUAGAAAUGAUCAAAGAGGUUGAUCUAAGGGUCAAAAGUCGGAAUCACCAGAUUCUCUAUGCUUCCGAUAGCAUAGUAGCUCUACUAUCUCUCUCUCUCUCUCUCUCUCUCUCUCUCUCUCUCUCUCUCUCUCUAUAUAUAUAUAUAUAUAUAUAUAUAUGUGUGUGUGUGUGUGGGCGCGCGCGCGCGCGCGCGCGUGUUUUAUUCCAAUCUUAAUUAGGUUGUUCUAUCCAAAAUCCCACUCAUUAUUUAUCUCCAUGUUAAAAAGUUAAAAAGCACUUCUCAAAUUGCAUAUCUAAAAUGAUUUUAGAGCUCUACAAUUUUUUAUUUUCUGUGAACAACUAUUGGGAAAUUCUAGUAGAAACUCGAAAAAAAUUAUACUAUUUAACAAUCGAAGCUAUACUAGUCGCAUUUGGAUGUAUAUAUAUAUAGAAUUAUACUACUAUACUAUCAAUAGUACCAAGCCCUUGGUACUAUUGAGUUUUCGGCCGUUGAAUGAAAGGAUGUGCGGUUAAUAUAAUAGUGGUCCCCUAGGAUUGAGUGGGUGGUUGGUUUAAUAGUAUAAUCUAACGGGUGAAAAUGAUCAAAGGGUAGAUCUAACGGUAGAAAACUCAAUAGUACAAGGGCUUGGUACUAGGGUUUAGGGUUGGUACUAUCGAUAGUAUAGUAGCGAGAUAUAUAUAUAUAUAUAUAUAUAUAUAGUUGAGCUAGAAUACUAUCGGUAGCAAACGGGCUCCAUUGCCACCCAUUUGUUUUUGAUGAUAGAGCCUCCAAAUUGACGAUCGACACCGUUGAAAAUGAUCUAUACCACUUGAAGUAUAUAGAAAUCAAAUUUCAUACUUUUUGAUAUUGUUCUCUUGUUCAUCAAGUGGGCGUAAAAAUGAACGACUGAAAAUGAAUAUCCUCUAAAAAGUGAUGAUAGGAAUUUUGUAAUCAAGAUCGAGAGCAUAUAUGUUGUUCUAAAUAGUUUAAAGAAUUUUCUAACCAAAAUUCAAUUCAUUUGGCUAGCAUUACACCGUUAAACAAGAAAACACCUCAAAUCUACCAUUAAAAUUACAAAUUUUGAAAUCCGUUGAUCAUUAGGUCAAUAAUGUCGAAAAGGUUUGAAAUUUGAUUUCUAGAUACUUCAAGUGGUAUAGAUCAUGUUCAACGGCGCCGAUCGUCGAUUUGGAGGCUCCAUCAUCGAAAACAAAUGGGUGGCAACGGAGCCCGUUUGCUACCGAUGGCAUUCCAGCUCAACUCAUAUAUAUAUAUAUAUAUAUAUAUAUAUAUAUAUAGAGAGAGAGAGAGAGAGAGAGAGAGAGAGAGAGAGAGAGUUGAGCUAGAAUACCCCCAAAAGCACCAAAAGAAGUGCUUUUGAGUUUUUAGCCAUUGGAUAGAGAGAUGUAGGGUUGAGAUGAUGAUGGUAGGUGGUGGUAGGUGGAAUAGUGUUUGAUCUAAAGCCUAAACCAAAAUCUUGUUUUGUUUCUGUGACGGCUCUAUCUCCAAAGUAAAGGGAAUAGACUAAAAAUAUCAUGUUUUAAAUCAUCUUCAAAACCAAAUGAUCAAAAAGCAGAAGGUAUGAUUUUAAUAUUAAUAUAUUUUACAAAAAAUCAUUAUAUGUUUCUUCAGCAGCAAUUUCAUCACUAAAAGAGAAAAGAUUGAAAACACUUUGCAUAUAUUGAAACUUCAACGAAGCGGGUAGCGUGCUAUCUAUCUCUCAAAAGCAACAAAAGCAACCCACAUGAUAGUAAACAAUAGUAUUUUUAUAUGAGAUUAUAGUUUACACCUCACUACCAUAUGGUUCACAAAACAUAUUACUUCUCUAUUUAAUUGUAGUUCUUUUGAUGAAAUAAAGAUAAAAUCAUAUGUAACUUUUUAAAUUACAAAGUGGUAAAGUAAAACUGUACUGCACUUUGUUGGGACAAAUAAAAUUUACCCUUUAAAAAAUUUGUUACAAUUUUUUUGAGAAUUGGCUAAAUUAUACUUUUGGUCCUCAAAUUAUGAGGCGCGUGAUAAUUUGAUUCUCAAAUUUGAAUUUAUUAUGCCGCCUCAAACUUUUUUAAAUUAUUGCAAUCAAACACUAUAACCUAAUUUAAUUUAUUAGAUAUUAAUUACCAGUAAUAUAAAAAUAAUAUAUUAGUAUUCUGAUCAAUAAUAUAAUAAUUAAGAUGUCAUAUUAUUUUUAUAUAAGUUGUACAUUAAUACUUAGUCAACUAAAUUAGACUAUGUGAUUUGGUUAUACUAGUUAGAAGGAUUUAAGUUAAAGAUUAUAAUAAAUAAAAAUUUGAAGACUAAAAUAUCAUAUUUUUUUAUAGUUUGAGAAAUCAAAAGUAUAAUUUAUUUAUUUUAUUAUAAUUAUCUUCUGAAAAAUCAGGACCCUAAAUUUUGCAACUGCGCCAGCAGUAACUUUCCUUCUGCGGCUGAAAUGAGAGGCGCGUCAGAAUGGUGGUGUGAGCGAACUGCCGGCAGUGGAUAAUAGAGUGUCCUCCUCCUUUUUCUUCCCAUCAUCUUCUACACAAAUGGCUACAAAUUUCUGCCCCCUCACGAGCUUCUUUCCCCAAUCAACGAGUCCCCAGCAAUGGCGAAGUCGCCGCCAUUUUUGCCCUUCUCCUCCUUCCAAAAGCAUCAGUCUCUUUCAUGCCCCGCCUCCUCCUCCUCCUCCUCCUUCUUCUUCUUCUUCUUCUUCUUGCCUGCGAGGCCUCUGCGGCGGCGUCUUUUGUCGCGCAGCCGCCGGGGCGGGGUCGAAGGCCGUCGCCAGCGACGCCGAGCUUGCAGCCGAUCCUGGACAAGAUCGCCUGUUGAAGGUUUUCUUAUGUUCUUAUUUCAUGCAUUUCGAGUUGUUAAGCCGCAGUAGUGUAACAUCCCUAGAAUUUGGAAUAGUUCUGUAUAUAAGAUAGUAUUUGGGUUGUGGCUAAGCCCAAGAAUAUAGGAGGGUUAAACGUGUUAGGACUAGAGCAGUUGUAGGAUGGGUGAUCCCUGGGAAGUGCGGCGGCACAAAUAGUCUCAUAUUUGAUGGGAAAAGAACUGCGGAAGCUCUAGUAAUAAUAAGGUAAAGUCCUUCAGAAUUUAUCUGAACUAUGAACCAUUUUGAAUCAGCCAUCUAAUCUUUUAAAAUUUUGAUUUUACUAUCCAAUCUUUUAAUUUAUUUGAUUUGACAGUACUCUAAUUUUAAAAUUUAAGAUAGUUACUUACUUUAAUUAUUCAAAAUUUGAAGUCAAAGUGCCGUUGCCAGAUUCAAAUCGAACAAAUUGAGAGGCUGGGUAGCCAACUCAAAAUAGCCCAGAGUUUAGGUAAAUUCAGUUUUUGUCUAAUAAUAACUGAGUUUAAUAAUUUUGGACUGGUGGUUUAGGUCUAACAAGAUAUCAGCUCUAGCCAGCUUGGUCCUUACCCUAGUGCGAGAUAUAUAAUUGUAGUUGAAUUGUCUAAAUCUAGUUAAAUUUAAACAAAGUGAAAAAUGCAUGGAGGUUCCCUCAACUAUAGGCCAUUUUUAAGUAACUCUCUCAACUUGAACUCUUUUUUGAUUGGCACCCCCUUAACAUUUCAAUUUUGUAGUUGAGUUGUUAGGAAUUUUGUGAAUUUCUGAAAAUUAGUUAAAUUCAAACAAGGUGAAAAUGUAUGGAGACUUCUGCAACUAUCGGCCAUUCUGAAAUGGCCCGCUUAACUUUGACUUUUUUUAUUGAGACCCCCUUAACUUCUGAAUUUUCAGGAACUGAAUUGUUCUAGUUAGUUUGGUUUUAUUAAAUUUUAUGGCUCUAUUAGCUAGUAGCCAUUAAUUGUUUCAAUAGGUUUUGGUAAAACAUGAUUAAAAUCAUCAAAUUUGGUGAAAUUGUUGAUUAAUUUGACAAAAUCUCCAAUUUAUUAGACUUAAAUCACUUGAUUCCAAAGAAUUGAAAUUUUGGAAUGCCUGGAUCGUAAAUGUUAAACACUGAGGAGGCUUGUGACGCCCUAUUUUCUAGAGAGCCAUCCAUCCCAGGACUACUCUAGUCCUAGUACGCUUAACUUUCUAAACCUCUUGGGCCUAGACAUGGCCCAAAAUACUUCAGCCGGGUCAAGAGUUUUAGCACUAUUAUAUCUUAUAUAUAGGACUACCUAGGGUCUCACAUUCUCCCCCCUUUAUCGAGAGAAUGUAUCAAAUGCUUAGUUGCCAUAGUUUUGUAGUUUUAGUAAUGUGAGAUCCCAGAUAGUCCUAUAUAUAAGAUAUAAUAGGGUUAAAAAUCUUAACCUGACUAUAGCAUUUUGAGUGGUGGCUAGGCCCAAGAGGUUAAGAGAGUUAAGCGUGCUAGGAUUGGAGUAGUCCUAGGAUGGGUGACUUCUUGAAAGAUGGGGCAUCACAGUUGGUAUCAGAGUCAGUUACCAGUCAGAAGUGUGAGAUGAGUUUCGGCUGAGGCAGAUUAUAUAGCGGGGAGAGCGAGACUUUCAUGAUGAUGAUUGUUAUAUAGCGGGGAGAGCGAGACUUUCAUGAUGAUGAUUGUUUUGGAUAGUGCGAGACUUCCCCACAAGGUCGAUUAAAGGCUAGCGAAACAAGUCUCACAUCGCCUGAUACUUGUGACUUGUGAGUUUGAGCCCGACGAGAACGUUAGGGCUUAAAGGAGGGGGGAGAAUGUGAGACCCCAGGUAGUCCUAUAUAUAAGAUAUAAUAGGGCUAAAACUCUUAACCUGGCUAUAACAUUUUGGAUAGUGGUUAGGCCCAAAACGUUAAGAGAGUUAAGCGUGUUAGGACUAGAGAAGUCCUGGGAUAGGUGACCCCCUGGGAAAUAGGGCGUAACAAGGCUAUUUCAAAAUGGCCUAUAGUUGAGGUGGUUUCUAUAUGUUUUAACCUUCAAACUAUCUUAUGAAGCAAGAUUAGGCCCUUUGCAAAUUGUAAAUUAUGAUUCAUUUUUCAGCUAAUAGUGCUAUUUCUUCUUAAAUGGGCCAAACCUACAAGCUAGUUUCUAUCUAUUUAGUAUUGUUCAUUUGUUAAUCAUGAUACUGAUAUUCAUAUUUGAAAAAUUACCUUACUGAAAUCAUCAAGAAUUCUUAGCGGCAGGGCGUAUCUUGAUCUACUUGCUUAAUUGGUACACUUACAUGAGUUAUUACCUUUUUUUGGUUUAGGUUCCAAUAUCAAAUAUCAGAAAUUUCUGCAUUAUUGCGCACAUUGAUCAUGGGAAGUCAACUUUAGCAGACAAGUUGUUGCAAAUAACCGGCACGGUACAGAAAAGGGAGAUGAAAGAGCAGUUCCUAGAUAACAUGGACUUAGAAAGAGAGAGAGGAAUCACUAUUAAGUUGCAGGUAAGCUUAAUGAUUGCCAUUUUGGCUGCUUAUGCUCAUUAGAAGAUAUAGCGUAUUGUUAAUCUCUCCUGAUGUCAUAGUUUCUCGAUAGUUGAUGCUAGUUAUUUCUCUUUAGUUGCCAUGUAUAUUUCUGUGUAGUAAACUAUACAGUAUCUGUUUUGUAACUUUGCUGUAAGUUUCGUCUCCAGCUGUGGUAGCUCUAAAGCUCAAAGUAAGAAUUAAGAGAAGAUAUAAGAAUCGUCUUACAGAUAGACCGCAUUGCUCCGUGUAGAGCUUUUUUGUUUUGUCUUGUUUUGUUUUUCUUUUUUUGGGUGACCGUACAGUGUACAGCUAGUUAUUGGAAAAGAUCAUGUAGCCGACACCAGCUAAUUGGAAUAUAAGGCAAUAUUAUAGUUUUCAUGAAUAUCUUAACACUAGCUAGGGCUAAAUAAUACUGCUAGUUGACCAUAUUUAAAUCAGAGCUUGUAAUUUAUGUUAUAUUAGUUUUCUUCACAAGAUGAUGAAAGUCAAAAAUAUUCAUCUUUGCAUGUAUUUGCAUCUGAGGAUUCCUGUGUCAAAGAUGCCGGCCAGCACCAACUAUUACCUGCCAUGUUGGCAAAUUGCUAGCAUUAUACACGGGCAGUAUCAAGAACAAGAUUAGCGUGGUCCCAAAUCUCCAUCUUUCUUUGCUUUCUUCUAGAUAAUAAUAAUGGGAUGCUUCCAAAUUAUGUAACUUCUUCUUUACAUGCAAUCUUGGACAUGAAAUUGUUCUAUAAUAAAAGAAGCAAGUAAAUAAUUGAACUCAUGUCGGUGGCAUAUAGAUGCAUGUCAGUGGUACACCGAACAUGCUGCAGCAUUUAUUUUGCUGCCCGAUGCAUGGCAUGGUACCCUCUGUUCAUUACUUACUUAUUAUGAAUGUUUCCGUUAGCACUUCUAUGUUGAUGCGUGUUUUAAAUUAUAUAAUAAAGAGAGCUUUUUGUUACUUUGAAAUUGAGAUUUUGUCUGUCUUCUGUUGCUGCACUACUUUGCUCUUUUAUGUACUACUAAUUUGGGCCCUCUGAUUACAAGUUCACACUCCGUAAUUCUCUUUUUUGUUACCAAUUAUUCAAUAACAAGCUGAGAAUAGUUAUGUGAUCUGUUAUGAUAUUUAUAAUUUCUCAUAUUGAUGUAUAGUUUGCCGUGCUCAUAUAAUAGCAUCCUCUCAUUCUGUCUUAGGCAGCUCGGAUGCGUUAUAUUUUAAACAAUGAGCCAUACUGCCUCAAUUUAAUUGAUACACCCGGGCAUGUUGAUUUCUCAUAUGAGGUAUGUCUAUAUCUUAUCGAUUCACAUCAUUACCAUUAUCAUAUAAUAAGUCUAUCAUCUAUUGGCAGUAGAUUUAAUUCUGUUUGAUGUGUAGAGCAGAAGAUAACUAUAUUAUGAUUUAAUUUAUUGGCGUACAGAACACUUGUGGCAUCUAGUCUCUUCAAAAUAGCAUUUCUUUUUUCUUCUAGUUAGAAUUAUUUGGUCAAUGCUGUGGCAAGAUUUUUAUAAUUUAAGAUACUAGCAUGAGAUUGUGUCCAAAUAAUGUUUCUCUUAAAUAUUUAAGUGACUCUAUUAUGAUAUUAUAUUCUGCUAUCUUCAUAUUUCUUUUAUCUUGUUUAUAUCUAAGUACCUGUAUUAUCUGAAAUUUUUUUGAAGUAUCCAAAUACACUAGAUAUAAUAUAUAUGACUCCAGAAAAUCAAUAAAGGUGUAAAUAAGUGAACGAAGAGAUUUAGAUUUGUGUGGAUAUGAAAUUUCUACUAAAUAGAUAAUCUGUGAUUGUCUUAAAUCAGAAUCAGAUUACUAAGCUAAGACUUUAACUCAAUAUAUACUUAUUUCUAAAGUAUCAUCACAUUUAUCUUUUCAAUUCUUAUCUAAAAGUAAUGGAUAAAACUAAUCAAAUUUAGUCCAAUCUAUCUUAACUAUCUUCUAUUUCUCUAACGCAAAUACUAGCGUCUGGAGGUCAACUGUUGUUCCAUGCGUCAUGAAGUUACUUUCAGAAACUUGGUGAUUAGUAUAGUAAAAGCUAGUAAAUGGGUUUGUAUUGUUAUAAUGUAACAAUCUAUGUGUUCAUAUUAAGUCCAUAUGAUGUCUACUCAGUAGAUACAACUGAUGAUUUUCUAGUUGUUAUAUAUGAAGCAUUCUGUAAACUCAAGUUUUGGAUUGCUGGCUAGGUUUCUCGUUCUCUUGCUGCUUGUGAAGGUGCUCUUCUAGUCGUUGAUGCUUCUCAGGUGCAACUUUUACCUUCUUACUAGUAAGUUUCAAGAACAGUUUUUACUAUGACUAUGUUCGAUUUAUCUCAAAUGCGAACCUUUAAAACCAGGUGAAAUUAUCGAAAUUCUUUUGGAUUGAACUGAGCAAUGAAUUUUCAUGGAAUUGUUGUGACAAUUUAGGGUGUGGAAGCUCAAACACUGGCUAAUGUUUAUCUGGCCUUGGAGAACAAUCUUGAGAUUAUACCUGUGAGAUUACUUCAUCUCUAUUAUGGGAUUUUACCAAUUUGAAUUUUCUGAAUAUUUAUUUAUUUUUAUUUGAUUAACAUGCAUAUUCACUCUGAAUUUUAUGGUGAGCAUAAUUCGGCUAUACUUAGUCAUUCUCUUAUGGUCGCAAAGUAGGAUUAGAUGCCUUAGGUAGAAGGCUAAACAUAGUAGUCCAUAGGAUGAGGCUGGCAAUUCUAGCUUGUUGCAAACUGUAUAAAAAUAAGCAUUCUCCAAACUAAAGUCCUAUGCGGCAUAUGUCUGUUCUAUUUUAUGAUACCUUCCCCCCACUAGAUGUGCUCAUAUGUAAUUUAAUAUCAUAACUAUAGUUGUGAAAUGCACUAGUUUGGAUCAAGAGGAAAAUUUACGGUCCACAUGUAAUAGGAUGAAAUUGGUGCAUAAAAUAAACUUAAAAGAAACAGAUUAUGUAAAAUCAGUUUGGUUCUGCCUCAGUUAUCUACUGGGUUGCAAAUGAUGAUGCUUUCUACUUACAAAUAGCAUGCGUAAAAAAAAAAAACAAAAAACAAAGUGCCACUAUGCAUAAAAUGUUUUAAGUGGUAUAUUAUAGGGUUCUCUCCAUUAUUCUGUUUACAAAUAUUUGCUUGAUAACUCAUUCUAAUAAUCUGGAUGAUCUUGAGAUCAGCAUAGGAAAAUAUAGAAGUAUAAGAAGCAAAUUGGUCGAAUUGAAAAGUGUUGGCUCCAAUUGGUUUGAUCUAUUCUAAAGUAGGCUUUGGGGUCUAGUUAUGUAAAUCUUAACUGCUAAUUUUUAAUAUAAUGUCUAUAAUGUUUAGGCUUACAAACAUUUGAUUGGUUUCUAAAGCUAGACUAAUUUCCAAGGCUUUUUCUUUUUCCCGCUUCUUUCAUAUAUGUACAAAGUAUUAAGAUUUAAGCCAAGUAAAUGAUUCUUGACAUAUUAUAUUGAUUUUAUUUAUUCAUUUGGACUAUUUAAUUAUUCACUGUAAUCUUUUGAGACCAGCGGAAAGUGAAAACCAAAAUUUUAAUUUUCCAAAGCAAAGAGACGAACUACCUCUUGAAAUAGACCGAAGUAAUCAGAUAGCAUUUGUUUGGUUUGCGAAUAUGUUUUCAACCAAAAACCCCAAAAACAGUGUAGUUGUUUGAUUGUUUCAGAUGAUAAGUUAAAUGUUAUUGGAAGAAAGAUUCUCUGUGGCUCUUGGAUAAACAUGAUGCUUCCUAAUAUUACAAACUUCUAUUGAAGGAUGGCCUCCAUCCUCAAAAGUUUAUGACUAGCAUGUUAAUAUUUGUAAGCCCAGGAAUCCUUAGAUUUAGGUUACUUUUAAAUGGUUGGAAUUUCAUCCCUUUUUUUCGAAAAUGCAUACUUGCAUUACAAAAUUAUUUGGCUCUGAUACAGGUUUUGAACAAAAUAGACCUGCCAGGUGCUGAACCUGAUCGGGCUGCCAAGGAGAUUGAAGAGGUUCGUGGAGAGAAAGUUCACAUUUUCUUUACACUCUCAGUUUUGUUAUACGUUGAAACGUUAUAUAUGUGUUCUUAUAUUUUUGAAUGACUGGUGUGAUAUUCACAGAUUAUUGGACUAGAUUGCAGUGAUGCAAUUCACUGCUCAGCAAAGGUCAGUUUCUUGGCAUCAAGGCAUGAAUUUUUUUUAUAAAUAAUCUUAUUAAUUUUUAUAAUUAUAAAAAUAAUUUUGUUAAAAAAAUAAUUAUAAAAAUAGUCCUAUAAAUGCGGUGUCACCGCAUUUAUAACUUCUCAUUAGGAGUAGAAAAGAAAUAAAAGCGGUAAACCAUUCACCGCUUUUAUCAUUAUAAAAAUAUAGAAAAAAAUGAAAAAAAUAAAGAAAGCGGUGAAUGAUUCACCGCUUUUAAAAGCGGUGAAUGAUUCACCGCUUCUAUAAGACUAUAUUUACAAAUAAAAAUUUAAUAAACUUAUUUUUAGAAUAAAUGUUUAGGAAAAGACUAUUACACUAAAAAACCCAUAUCUAAGAGUAGUAGGAUGCGUGGAACUCCAUGUACGUCGACGAGUUUAGCAGGCGAGGACGUGACUCAACACUCCUGGUCCUAGUGGGACGAUUAGAUUCGAUCCGAAUGUCCGUACACCGGGAUAGUUGUUGUGAUUUGUUGAGUGGAUAUAUCUAUAGAGUGAUGUCCGUACACCGGGAUGGUCGGGUGCAGAUAAGAUGCCGCGAGAGGUUAGUACUGUACAUCACGUACGUGGGGAUAUUAUGUUGAGCGACUCUCAAUUCGAAUCGGCCGGCCAGUAUAUAAUCGAUGUACACAGAACAGAAACGGCAGGCGGGCGGGGUAUACAUUAGUGUCAGAUAUGUACUACGAAAAAUAAAUUGUUAGUAUUAGAGUUCGUAAUUCCUAGUACCUUUUUUCCAUGCGAUAUGGAACUGCUGGGGUAUUGAAAAAAAUCUUCCAGAUUAAAUGAAGCUAUAAAAUUGGAGCGCGAGCUGUAUAGGACAGCUUACCAAAUUGUCUCAACAACAACGUCUCACUGAAACACCACUCGACGAAGCCCCACUCAGCUAAAUUACCUUCCUUAUACGAGAUCCCCAUUUUUCGUCAUUGUUACGUGCAAAUAUGAGACCAACAAAUUGCAACACGUGGCCCAAACACACGUCCAGCUUCGGAUUUUAAAUGCUUUUAAAGCUUUCUAACCACUGAUUGCAUGAAACGAUAGCAACCACAGACCGAAACGCAGCAUCCUAGUGCAUUUUCAUAACGCGGGGAGCCCUAUCGGAAAACUUAAUUACAAUUAUGAUCGAGUUAGACGAUCGAUGUUUUACUCAGUUACCUUUCCACUUUGAAAUCUGCAAUUAAUCAAUCUUUUUCCAGAAGUUCAGUAUAGCGGACUUGACAAAACAAUGUUAUGUUUAUCAGAUGGCGGGCGGUUCACAUCAACACGAUCGAUUGAACUGGUGGACAAAACGAAAGAAUCACAAGAACAGUUUGUUUCUGGCUCGGUUUGCACCCCAAAUCUCCCCCCCUUCCCACCCACUGAGGGAACACAUCUUGAUCGCCGGUCGUGUUAAUUUGACACAACAUGAACAAAUUUAUUUAGACUAAAUAAAAAAACAUAGAUCGAAAAAGCUACUGCACACUGGAAGUAAUUUAUACCAACUCCGGUGUUGUGGUUAGCAAGUAGGUUCCAACAUGUUGAGAGGAUCAUAUGAGUAACAGAUUUCGCACAUAUAUUACAACAAACAUCAAAUGCUGCAUCUGUCGCAGAGAAGAAAUUUCACGACUUAUUCUGUAAGCGAAGUGUAGCCCGUACGGAAUGAUGAGGAGCUGGCGGUUUAUCAUUAACAAAAAUUUGUUCCGCAAAAUCCACCCGUAUCGAUCUGAAUUCAUAGCUCUGCUUCACAAAAAAANAAAAAAAUAAAGAAAGCGGUGAAUGAUUCACCGCUUUUAAAAGCGGUGAAUGAUUCACCGCUUCUAUAAGACUAUAUUUAUAAAUAAAAAUUUAAUAAACUUAUUUUAGAAUAAAUGUUUAGGAAAAGACUAUUACACUAAAAAACCCUCAAGGCAUGCAGAAUUAUGUGAAAAGAGAAAUAUAUUGAAAGUUGUCAAGUUAUUUGAACCUUAAAUAAGAACUUAGAAUGAUGUAUUCUGUUUUUCUUCUUUAUAUAUCAUGUAGGAGGGUAUUGGUAUAACCGAAAUUCUAAAUGCCAUUGUUACACGAAUCCCUCCUCCAAAAGACACUGCUGGAGGUCCUCUUAGAGCUCUUAUAUUUGACAGGUAUCUUGAACUUUUCAACUUUGUUAUGAUUACUUGUUUAAUAUAUUUUCAUGAUUUUUUUUUUUUGGCGUGGUAUCUUCAUUGUACCUUUCUAAUGCCAUUUUAUUUCUACAAUUUGAAUGAGUAAGCAACAGAUUCUAAAUGUAAGACAUUAUUGAUAUUUGCUUGAGCAAGUAUCCAUUACCUGUAAGGUCCUCUUGUUGUGACUUUAUUACCAACUCUUUAUUAAGUAACCUAUUUUAAAUAUUUAUACUGAUGUGUUGAUAGGUAUGUUUAUGUUUGAUGUCACAUCUCUGAGCUUACAGAAGCUCUUCCUAUACAUUCAUACAAAUGUGCGAACAUAUUCAAGAUUGUACAUUGUUGCUUAUUCAACUCCACACACAAAGAAAAUGCCUAGAAACAUAUUUGUAUUCUAUAAUACUAUUGACUUGUAGCCAAGGAUUUAAGUGCCGUAGUACAGAAUCGUGCCGUAAACUUGCUAGCACGGUACGGCACGAUACUUGCCGGGCCGUACUGAUGCGUGUCAGUUACAAAAAAUACAUGUGUGCCGAUACAUAAUGAUAUGAAAAAUUUAUUUUCUUUAGCAACAAAAUUUUCUAGUUGUUUAUUAUGUAUCUUUAUCAAAUUUUUUGAACUUUAUUAAAAAAAUUAUUUACUAAUUUAAAGUAAAAAGGAUUUUGAACUGUGCCAUCGGCACGGGGGCUGUAUCAUGCCAGUAUUUUAUUGGCAAUUUGGUACGAUACGGUAUGGUAGAUAUGGCCCGUACCGAUAGGUACUUAAAUGUUAAAUCCUCGCUUGCAGCAACAUUUAUCAAUGAAUAUGCAAGUGACGUGCAUAAAAGAUUUUUACGCAAAUUUAUGAUCGCAUUCAUAGAUUUAUAAUUUCAAACUUCCGGCUUUUCAGUUCCCCUUUUCUUUUUUGCUGUUGCAUUCUAGGCUAAUAAUCACCACUCUCUACCAUACACAUCACAGCUUGCUUAAUUAGUUUUACAUUCUUUUUGUAGCUACUAUGAUCCAUAUAGAGGAGUUAUAGUUUAUUUUCGUGUUGUUGACGGGACUGUAAAGAAAGGUGACAGGAUAUAUUUCAUGGCUAGUGGAAAGGUAAAACUUCAUUCUGCUUCCUUAGAACUUCCUUUAAACUCCAUCCAUUAUAAGCUAUAAGAUCAACUUCUGCCUCGAGCACUCUCUUAUUUAGUUUGCAAAUUUGCUUUUAUUAUGUCGUUUACUUUGAUUAAAUAGAGGCAAGACAAAUUUCGUUAUCAGAAAUGAAGUUAACCUGGGAAACUUCUACAGUGUCACUCUGAACGAUCUUAAUGUGGCCAGAAACAUCAGGAACUCACAUUUUAAUAUGUCAUUCUCUUAAGACAUUAUUCUUAUUUAAGGUAUAUGUCACUUCUGUACUAAGCUUUCUUGAAUGUGAUCAGGAUUACAUUGCUGAUGAAAUUGGAGUACUAUCACCCUAUCAGCUACAAGUUAAUGAACUUUAUGCUGGUGAGGUAAAGUUGUAAAUUCCACGAAUCUAACUUUGUGCACUUGAUUAUGGAGUUAAGUUUCUUCAUGGAUUUUUUUCUCCCUUUCUUAUUUUUCCUGGCAUCUGUGCUAUAUCAUAACUAGUUUCUGGAACACUUACAGAUAUUAGGGCAAUUAUUCCUAUAAUCACUUUGCAGAUUGUAGUUUCAAUCUAUCGUUUCCAGAGUUUGGUUCCCUUUUACGGAUCAAAGUCUUCAUUCAUUUUGUGAUGUCAGGUGGGGUAUCUUUCAGCUUCCAUAAGAUCAGUUGCAGAUGCCAGGGUUGGUGACACGAUUACUCACUAUGGAAGAAAGGCAGAGAGCUCUUUACCAGGAUACGCCGAAGCAACUCCGAUGGUUUUUUGUGGUCUCUUUCCUGUGGAUGCUGACCAGUACCUCACCUUUCCUGAUGUUCUUUACUAUGUUAUUCUACCUUGUCUAUUUUUUCUGUGAACAAAUUUUCCCAUUCCCUGCUGGAUAGGUUUCCUGAGUUGCGGGAUGCACUAGAAAAACUACAGCUAAAUGAUGCUGCUUUAAAGGUGUGCCAAAAUCUUUGUUAUUUUUCCGCACUCUGUUGUUUGGAUAUGUCAGGAACCAGAGAUGUCUAUUUCUUGCUGAUAAGCUUCAUGCUAAUUUUCUUUGGGAUACUUUUUUUUCGUACUUGAUUGUUGAUUAUCUAUCCUCAGCAUGUCUCAUUCUGGUCAUAAAUUAUGAUCACUUCCCUGGUAGUUGAUACUUUCUUUGCCACCAUUUCUGUCACCACCACUUCUCCACUUCCAUACCUUUGAAAUUACCUCCCUCGUUGGCGGGAAUACUUAAAAGAUACUUCUGUGAUUCUCUUUACGUUGCAUGCAUGGUUUAAUUAACUUGGAGAUUGCCAUAUUUAGAUAUGUGUGGUUGGCACGAGGGGGUGCAAGUAUGCGACGGUAUCUAUAACCCUCAAAACACUCUUGUUUACCUAUCAAAGAUCAGUAAUCUAGCAUACAAAGAAAAAUCAUUUCAAUCAUCAUUUGACUUUAAUAUGAUGUUAAUUAACUCACAAAUUAAAGAAUCCUCCUCGGUGGAGUUUAUUUAGUCAUUCUAUGAUUUUCUUAUUGUAGCAUCAACUUAGUUAUUUUGAAUUCUUGGUCGACUUUCGAGGGAAGAAUGUAUCUGUUUGUUCAUGAGUUUUAGUGGCCAUUGAGCAAUUCUUGCUUUCAUGACUUCAUUUUUGACUAUUAUCUUCUGUGAAGGUUCUUAGUUUCCCUUACCUCUCUGUUUGUUGCUUAAUAAUGCAGUUCGAACCUGAAACUUCUAGUGCGAUGGGUUUUGGCUUUCGAUGUGGGUUCCUAGGUCUACUACAUAUGGAAAUUGUUCAGGUUUAAAAUUUUUACUAGCCAACUCUAGAUUUUACUAUUAUGUCUCAGAUCACAGUGUUAGUAAAUGUUCAAGACAACCUUUUCUUUAUAUCUUAUUUUUUCAGGAAAGGCUUGAGAGGGAGUACAACUUGAAUUUGAUAACUACUGCACCAAGUGUGGUUUACCGUGUCAAUUGUGUCGAUGAUGAGAUAGUAAAUUCCUGUGAUCCCUAGCCUUCUUAGCUUUUAAUAAAUGCUCCACGUUUUGUUAUCUUUCCUCAAUAUGUACAAUGAUUUUUCCAGAUGGUGCUUACAUACGUUGGGAAGUUUGCUUCACAGUUAAAAGAAAAUUGUUUACUUGCUAUUUUCCUGAUAUUUAACUCUUAUGAUAUCUUUCAACAACAGUGAUAGAUGUGAUGGAACUAACAAUUAUGAUACGUAGGUUGAAUGCUCAAAUCCAUCUUUACUCCCGGAACCUGGAAAGCGUAGGUCAAUUGAAGAGCCAUAUGUUAAGGUUGUACCAUCUGACAGAUUCUGCCCAUUUGCUGUCAUAUUAAACAUUAACUAAUAUCAUAAGCCUUUCCUUAAACAUGUUUUAACAUGUUAUCGACAUUAUUCCGUGUUUCAUGUUUUCAGAUAGAAAUUCUUACACCAAAAGAGUAUAUUGGCUCUCUUAUGGAACUUGGUCAAGAUAGAAGAGGUGUAUUCAAAGAGAUGAACUAUAUCACAGAGAAUAGAGCUUCAAUUAUUUACGAGUUACCACUAGCAGAGGUAUAUUUUACUAUAAUUUCUGGUCAUUAUUGUAACAGUCAUUACGAGCAUAUUUACAAAGGCUAUCAUCAGCCUUAUUGAUAUCAUAAUUCUCGAACAGUGUUACUUCUAUAACAUAAGGAAGAUUUCGCAGAAUCUGGGUAUCCCCAAUUCUUUUAUUUCCUCAACAAAUCAGAUAUAGUAGGAACUCAGCAAAGUUUGCUAGUAGUUGGUCUCUAAUGUCUGGUGAAGGAAGCUAGUUCAGUGCUUUCAAUGUCGGAUCAUCACUUAUAUGUGACAUCUUUUAGCUUAAAGAACUAAAUUGUACUAAUUUCAUUACCAUUCUUGUCAUUAUGCUAUGCUGUACUGGUUGGUUAUAUUUGAGUUUGGGUAAAUAUAAUGUACUCUUUUCUUAAUGUACAGAUGGUUGGAGACUUCUUUGAUCAGCUGAAGUCUAGAAGCAAGGGAUAUGCCAGCAUGGAGUACUCACUUAUCGGGUAGUUUUCUGGGUUAUUAUCUUUGAUGAACAUCAACCCAGAUUCCGGAGUUUUUUCAAUAUGCCUGAACUGUGCUUUCAUAAUUGGCAGGUACAGGGAAAGUGAUUUGGUAAAGCUAGACAUUCAGAUUAAUGGUGAGCUUGUGGAGCCGCUAUCAACAAUUGUUCACAAGGACAAGGUAAUAUAAUCUCUUUUCAUUUGGUAGUUUUUAUGCUAGAUUUGUUUCAUUCGCUGCUCCACUUUACCAUUGUAAUUUGUUAUAUGUGUGUGAAUGUAAAUUGAGUGCGGCUUAUGCUCAUAUUGGGGAACUUGCAUGGAGAUUUCUAUCAAAUAUUAGAUCUCAAUUACUCUCAAGAGUUUCACUGCUUUUGGCAGUUCCAUGAUUUGGCUGAAAAAGGAAAAGAGAAGAAUCACAAAAUCGGAACAAGCUUGAAAAGUGAAAACAAGCUGCACAAUUAUUACAUUUUCAUUGUCUCAGAUUGAAAUCACAAAAAAUAACAUAACAAAUGAAUUAGAUUUAACAACAUGCUUGUAGUCCGCUUAAGAGCAAUAUGUGUAUUAUUUGACCCUGAAUUAUCUAUAUAAUAUUGAUCGAAUAUGGCAAGCACCAAAGCAUAAAUUUAUAGUGUUGGUGACUACAUUAGGAAGAUUCAUUAUUUCUAUAUAGCAGAAGCAUCUUCUUAUGCUUUCCAUUAUUGAGUAGAAGGUCAGAAUGCACUGGAAUAUUAACAAGAAAAGGUCAAAAUACACAACAAUGUCUCAGCAACGUGUGCUAUAAUUUUUUGGUUUUUUUAUUUUUCCAGGCAUACUCUGUUGGGAGGGCUUUGACUCAAAAGCUAAAAGAACUUAUUCCCCGACAGAUGUUUAAAGUACCUAUCCAGGUAAGAUCUUUAUCUCUGUCUUAAAUUCAGGUUUGUGACUUUUCUUUUGGGAAGGGGUGGGGAAGUGAAUAUUAUAUUACAAUUGUUGAUACACUUUCAUAGUCGGUUUAACAUUGAUAUUUGAAAAGUACUAGUUACAUAAGAAUAUGACUUGAUUAAUAUCUCUAUAAUCUAGUGAUUAUCUCUAGAGAAAUACUUUUACCUUCAUUGGGCCUGCGAAGGGAUGAGCAGAGUGCAAAUUCAGAUCAUUAGUUAGUCAUGUAUUUUGAUAGAAGAGGUCCCCUAUGAUGGUCACCGGAGUCUAAAAGCAAAAAUAUAAAAAGGAUUGGUCGAUAAUCUUUACCUGAAAGGUUGGUUAUAAUAUCUCAGAUGUCCUGAUGUUCUAGAUAGACAUGUUAUGAGCUUGUAUCCAAGAUGGUUUUGAUUGGCCUUUGUUGCAUUUAAGCUGGUCCCUCACAACGUAAUUUGUUCAAGAUGAUCCAGUACUAUGUAUUGCAAUUCAGCUUAUCUAGAACUCCUAAAUUUGCAAACUUACGCUACUCAAUUUUCUCCAUGUUCUCUAUAAAUUAAAAGUGUAUAUUUUGAUCCUACCAAUUGUUUUAACAUUGUCUUGUGGAAUUCAAAGAAAGGCUUUUGAAUCUCAAAUUGGAUCAUCCAAUCACUGUCAUGAAUCCUCUGCAGUCCAAAAUGAAGAAACCACCAAUUCAAAUACAUUUGAAAAGAUCCUUGAGUGAAACAGGUUUUGAGAUGACAUCGUGUACAAUUAGUAGUUAGUUUCCACUCCUAGAGAAAGAUGUAUCCUUCGGUGAAAGAGAUUCCUUUGUUAUGUCCUUGGUAUUAUAUUUCUCCAGAUCGAAAUAGUUAAUUUUGGGUUGUAGGCUUUAUCAACAAUUCAACAUUAUUGGUAUAAUCAUAAAGAAGCCUGCCUACAAGUUUCUACUUGCUAGCAAUAACACUAUGCAUAAUGCUUUAUUUAGAUGUAAUCCAAGUGAACUAUGUUUCUUAAUUUUAAGUUUAUUCUUCAAUGUUACAUUAGAGUUACUGUAAUAGACAUUGAACUGCGAUACUCGAUAAAUUGCUAGUUUAUUUCCUUUGGCAUUUACCACUGCAUAUCGAACUUCUUAUCGUUUCUGUAAGUGGUUUCUCCUGUUCAACUAAUCCGGAUGUAAUGAUACCCAUGAUAGGCAUGUAUCGGUUCCAAGGUGAUUGCUAGCGAAUCUUUGUCGGCCAUUAGGAAGGAUGUUCUUUCAAAAUGUUAUGGUAUGCCAUAAUUUUAAGCCUGGCUAAUUCCGAAAAUGCACCUAUCUUAAUCGUUUUCAUCAUUCUGAAGUUCUCCCGGCCUUUUGUAAUUUUGCCUUGGAAGGCUUCUCAUAUCAUAUCAAAUUUGUAAGGACUUCUGUACAAUUAUGAUGGUUUGUUUCUCUUGUAGGAGGAGACAUAACAAGGAAAAAGAAGCUACUAAAGAAACAGGUGAUUGAUCUAACAUCACUUAGUCCUUUCUAGUUUAGUGGUGAAUUCUUUAUAUGAUAUAUCUUAUAAAUGGGUUAUGAUAUGUGCUGAACGUCUAACAACUUUCGCAGAAAAAUGGUUAUUUGAAGUUAAUGAGAUGAUUUUUUGCUUGAUCAGUGAGCUGAAUUGAGUGUCAAAGUGAGUUUCUGAGUGACCAGCUUUUCGUUAUGCUUGGAGAAAUUAAUGUAGGAAAAUGCGAUGUGCUGAAAAUAGCUUUUACAGUCAGGUCAUGGACAUAGCUUUACUUCUCCCUUCUCCCACCAUUCCAAUGUCUAUUACCCUCGAUCUUCUCCCUUUUCUCAUGUCCUCUAUUACUCUAGCCACUCACAUGUAGCCACAUCAUCAAUGCUGGUUUUUAAGUUCCAACUGUAACUUGCACAACUAAUUCUCUAUUAGAUAUCUGAUAUCGUGCUAUGAUAAAUAGCUUACCUUUAACUUGCUUUUGAAAUGACCACAGCAUUUCUUUAAUUUCCCCAGUUGUCGAAGGCAAAUAGCUACAUCACUUGCAUACUGCUAAUCACUUUUUACCGUAUAACAUUCCUGAUUUUAGUUGAUCUACCCUACAUUCGAAGAAGAUUUUUUGAGCUUGUUCAUUAUUUACCAUAAUCAGCAAUAACAACAACUCAAGCUUUACAAUACUACAUGUAUGUGCAUGUUAUACAUGUAUAUAUAUAUAUACACA